RNAcentral lists this ribosomal RNA (30 nucleotides) under Ilyonectria crassa. RNAcentral describes it as "partial 18S ribosomal RNA". Lineage: Eukaryota; Fungi; Ascomycota; Sordariomycetes; Hypocreales; Nectriaceae. The record is from RNAcentral.
GUCUCCGUUGGUGACCAGCGGAGGGACAUU